This 356-nucleotide ribosomal RNA is filed under the name Photorhabdus sp. RNAcentral's name for it is "bacterial SSU rRNA". It matches the Rfam family "Bacterial small subunit ribosomal RNA", at positions 132 to 480 of the family's 1533-position model. The record is from RNAcentral. Lineage: Bacteria; Pseudomonadati; Pseudomonadota; Gammaproteobacteria; Enterobacterales; Morganellaceae.
GAGGGCGGGGGAUAACCACUGGAAACGGUGGCUAAUACCGCAUAAUGUCGCAAGACCAAAGUGGGGGACCUGAAAGGGCCUCACGCCCGUGGAUGAACCCAGAUGGGAUUAGCUGGUAGGUGGGGUAAUGGCUCACCUAGGCGACGAUCCCUAGCUGGUCUGAGAGGAUGACCAGCCACACUGGGACUGAGACACGGCCCAGACUCCUACGGGAGGCAGCAGUGGGGAAUAUUGCACAAUGGGCGCAAGCCUGAUGCAGCCAUGCCGCGUGUAUGAAGAAGGCCUUCGGGUUGUAAAGUACUUUCAGCGGGGUAGGAAGGGGUUGAUUUGAACAGGGUCAAUUCUUGACGUUACCC